GGGUGUUAUGACUUGUCUGGUCAAUCGAGUUGUGCUCUGAUUGGACGGUGAUCAAGCAGCGGUUUGAUUAAUCUAAAUAAGGCAGACAUAGCAGACAUAUAAGUGCCGUACGAUAAUUCAAGAAGUUCAACAGAUCGUAAGAUGCUACGAGUCUGUUAAGACUUGGUACAACUGAACUUGAUUUCCUGAAUAAAAAUAUAAUCACCAACGAA
Exaiptasia diaphana is the source of this 212-nucleotide long non-coding RNA. RefSeq lists it as uncharacterized. The transcript is spliced from 2 exons. NCBI's taxonomy places the organism in Eukaryota, Metazoa, Cnidaria, Anthozoa, Actiniaria, Aiptasiidae. The record is from RefSeq and is a predicted model, not a curated record.